Molecule: transfer RNA, 86 nt
Filed under: Planctomycetota bacterium
Lineage: Bacteria; Pseudomonadati; Planctomycetota
Description: tRNA-Leu
Rfam family: tRNA
About the family: Transfer RNA (tRNA) molecules are approximately 80 nucleotides in length. Their secondary structure includes four short double-helical elements and three loops (D, anti-codon, and T loops). Further hydrogen bonds mediate the characteristic L-shaped molecular structure. tRNAs have two regions of fundamental functional importance: the anti-codon, which is responsible for specific mRNA codon recognition, and the 3' end, to which the tRNAs corresponding amino acid is attached (by aminoacyl-tRNA synthetases). tRNAs cope with the degeneracy of the genetic code in two manners: having more than one tRNA (with a specific anti-codon) for a particular amino acid; and 'wobble' base-pairing, i.e. permitting non-standard base-pairing at the 3rd anti-codon position.
Source: RNAcentral
GGGGAUGUGGCGGAAUUGGUAGACGCAUCGGACUUAAAAUCCGAAGGCCCUAGGCCGUCCGGGUUCGAUCCCCGGCAUCCCUACCA